RNAcentral lists this long non-coding RNA (460 nucleotides) under Trifolium pratense (red clover). Its description in RNAcentral is "long non-coding RNA (TPRA_LNC009590)". Lineage: Eukaryota; Viridiplantae; Streptophyta; Magnoliopsida; Fabales; Fabaceae. The record is from RNAcentral.
CAGACAUAGUGUUCUCACAAGAUCUUUACUGUCUCACUGUUAAGUGAAAGCAACAGACCAGGUGCUCUGAUGCCAAUUGAAGGUGUGAAAACACAAGAAGGGGGGGGUUGAAUUGUGUUUUAGCCAAGUUAAAACUUUUUCAAGUUCUUAACUCAACUACGUUCGCAGCGGAUAAAUAACACAAAUAAUAACAAGAGAGAGAGAGAGAGAAAACACACAAGCAGUUUAUACUGGUUCCUCUCACAGAACGAGAGUAGUCCAGUCCCCUUGCACUUCCAAGGGAGUUCACUAUAAUCACACAAGAUUACACCUGCUCAAGCACACAAGCAAGAGACUUCUCAACAAUGCUCAAGCACACAAGCUUAAGACUUCACACUUAAGCACACAAGCUUAAGUUUCACACUUAAGCACACAAGCUUAAGUUUCCUCAAGUAAAUAGUAAAGUAUAUAAAAAUAUACA